UGGGUUGAUAGCUCAGCGGAUAGAGCACCCGCCUUCUAAGCGGGUGGUCGCAGGUUCGAAUCCUGCUCAGCCCAU
Molecule: transfer RNA, 75 nt
Filed under: Candidatus Rhabdochlamydia sp. T3358
Lineage: Bacteria; Pseudomonadati; Chlamydiota; Chlamydiia; Parachlamydiales; Candidatus Rhabdochlamydiaceae
Also listed under: 1 other name
Description: tRNA-Arg
Rfam family: tRNA
About the family: Transfer RNA (tRNA) molecules are approximately 80 nucleotides in length. Their secondary structure includes four short double-helical elements and three loops (D, anti-codon, and T loops).
Source: RNAcentral